Photinus pyralis (common eastern firefly) is the source of this 1408-nucleotide long non-coding RNA. RefSeq lists it as uncharacterized. The transcript is spliced from 6 exons. The record is from RefSeq and is a predicted model, not a curated record. Lineage: Eukaryota; Metazoa; Arthropoda; Insecta; Coleoptera; Lampyridae.
AGCAGGUCUAAUCAUGAGCCGAUCCCCACAUUGUUCUGAAAAAUCGCUAAUUUUUGUACAGCAAUAUAUGUUGUCAAGUGAGCUUUCAACGGACAAUCAUGACAGCUGCCUUCAAAUAGGCUACACUUAUUGUUUUCAGUGUUUCGUUUCUUCUGAAGAACAAAAUUCCAUUUCGAGCUCAGGAAUAUUGAAACGUGACUCAAACUGAUCGAUUAUAUAACCAAAUAGGCACCGUUUAUCUACUGUAACACUUCUAUUGUUGGUUUUUUAGCGUAAUUUGUAUAUCUAUUACGCACAAAAAUAGUAGUUUCCGUUACUUUAUUUGUUAUCACAAUCUUUUAACAACCACAAUUCAUCUAAGCUAAAAAAUUGGCCAUGCGCAGGAAAAGAAAAAAAAGUAACCUUCCCGAAAGAUAUCGAAAUACCGUUAGUUGAAAGCGAUACCAUUUUCCAUGGAGAGCUCACUUUUCUUUGCAGUAGUAGUGGUCGGAUCAGUUUUACUACCGCUUGCCCAGAGCUUUCGGUGUUACAACUGCUCUAGUGUUCAACAGAAACAUUGUGGAUAUGAGUUCAACAAUACAAACAUUAAGCUUGUGGAUUGCCAAACGCCAAAAACGUGCAAGAAAGUACUACUGCCAACAGUUGGAGGUGGAUACGAACCAAUACAACGGGGAUGUUUAGACAAUGAGCUGUGUACACCCUUGAGUGUCUGCCUUUCCUGCGAAAGUGAUAUGUGCAAUUCUGCUAGUAACUUUCGUAUUACAUUACUAAUUGUUGUACUUAGUCUUAUAAAUCUUUUUUAUUGUUAAUGUUUCCUAAUACAUUUUUAUAUUAUCUUGCUUGAUUUUCACAUCGUAAAUCUUAUUUGGCACACCAGAUAGGCGGUUAUCAGAUAACGACUGAGUAAAUUUUCACGACAUACUAUGAGUAUUCAGGCCUAAACUAGGAUGUAUCGCAUAUGGUUGUUUUGCUGUCUACUUCAGUUCGGUCAAUCGUUUGAGUGCUAUCAAUGUAAUUCGCAGUUCAAUACGUUGUGCUUUAGUACCGAAUAUAAGGACUCCUUCAGAAAUGUGUCGUGCCCCGAAAAUGCCUGUGUGAUAGUACGCCCUCCAAACAAUCAUGGUAGCGAACAAUGGAUCAGGGAUUGCUACAAAAAGGAGCUCUGCGACGAGUACAGUGUUUGCAAAAAAUGCGAUGAACCCCUUUGCAACAGUUCCCCACGCAUCAGCUUAUCCGUGACAUACCUUUUAAUAUUUACAGCGCUUUCGUACUACUUCGUUAUGUGCAAUAAAAUCUUCCGCAAUCGAUCCAUUUGACCUAUCUGAUGAUGUACAAGGAAACCCGAAGUAAGAUAUCAAAUAAACUGUGAAAUAAAUGAAUAAAUAAAUGCAUAAACAAAUAAACAGCA